GCCUGAAUGAGACUUUUGAAAAUAAAAAAAAUAGAAAAAAACUAGAAAAAAACAUAGAAAAAAAUCAACGAAACCAAGGAAGGGUGGAAAAAUUAAAAGGCAUAACCUUUUCCCGCAUAGAUUGAUAAUUUUUUUUUCCUUUCUCCUUUUUCUUCUCAUUUCUUUAUCUUUUUCAAAGAUCUAUGGGAAGAAAAGUACAUAAGAGAGAUCAGAGGGAAAGAUUGAUGCUGGUAACGAUGGGGAGGAAG
RNAcentral lists this long non-coding RNA (248 nucleotides) under Elaeis guineensis (African oil palm). Its description in RNAcentral is "long non-coding RNA (EGUI_LNC037342)". The record is from RNAcentral. Lineage: Eukaryota; Viridiplantae; Streptophyta; Magnoliopsida; Arecales; Arecaceae.